Ditylenchus destructor is the source of this 89-nucleotide non-coding RNA. NCBI's taxonomy places the organism in Eukaryota, Metazoa, Nematoda, Chromadorea, Rhabditida, Anguinidae. The record is from the annotation of a GenBank genome assembly.
GCCCCAUUGGCCUAGUGAAUAUGGCGUCUGACUUCGACUUUGACAAGAAGUAUAUCAGAAGGUCGUCGGUUUGAAUCCGGCAUGGGGCU